GACAGAGGUGCCGAGCGUUAGGCGGAAUCACUGGGCUUAAAGCGUGUGUAGGCGGAUCGUUAAGUACCUUGUGAAAUCCCACGGCUCAACCGUGGAACGGCUGGGUAUACUGGCGAUCUUGGGCCACCUAGGGGCAGAUGGAACAGACGGUGGAGCGGUGAAAUGCGUAGAUAUCGUCUGGAACGCCAAAGGUGAAGACAGUCUGCUGGGGGUGUGCCGACGCUGAGACACGAAAGCCAGGGGAGCGAACGGG
RNAcentral lists this ribosomal RNA (253 nucleotides) under uncultured bacterium. Its description in RNAcentral is "partial 16S ribosomal RNA". It matches the Rfam family "Bacterial small subunit ribosomal RNA", at positions 524 to 776 of the family's 1533-position model. The record is from RNAcentral.